Long non-coding RNA from Octopus sinensis (East Asian common octopus), 411 nucleotides. RefSeq lists it as uncharacterized. The transcript has 3 exons. The record is from RefSeq and is a predicted model, not a curated record. Lineage: Eukaryota; Metazoa; Mollusca; Cephalopoda; Octopoda; Octopodidae.
UCGGAUAUUUCUGUAUCCAAAACUGAAAGCAGCAAUUCUGAAACUGAAGCGGCAGCGAGGACAAUUUUAUACCAGAAUGGAGUAAAGAGUUUUUAAAUAUUUUUAUUAACAAUUUUUCUGAAGAGACAGUGUCUACUCAUAGUCUUUCUCAGGAAGUGAAACUGUUAGACAUUUUUUCUUAUCUUUUCCAGUAAGCUUGUUUGAAGCUAUCACUGCAGAAACAAACCAUUACACAGAAUAUAAAUAAACUGGAAAAAAAGAUAAUUUAUGGUUUCCUACACCAUAGAAGAAAUACAGGCAUUUUUUGCCAUAAAUACUAUUAUGGAUAUAAGACAAUUAGCCAGAAUUACAAAUUACUGGAGCAAUCAGGAACCUUUUGGAGGUAAACAUAUUCUCCAGUAUCAUGAACAA